This is a non-coding RNA of Cellulomonas sp. Root930, 95 nucleotides long. Lineage: Bacteria; Bacillati; Actinomycetota; Actinomycetes; Micrococcales; Cellulomonadaceae. The record is from Rfam.
CACGGGCCGCCCGGUGAGACCUCCUCCCGAAUCUCUGCCGCACUUCCCCGGUGGCAGAGGGUCGGUGGGGGAUCUGGUCGGACGGCGGAGGGGCC